GGACCCGCACAAGCAGUGGAGCAUGUGGUUUAAUUCGACGCAACGCGAAGAACCUUACCAGGGCUUGACAUAUUGAUUACUACCCUCUAAGAGAUUAGAGGAGACUAUAAAUACAGGUGGUGCAUGGUUGUCGUCAGCUCGUGUCGUGAGAUGUUGGGUUAAGUCCCGCAACGAGCGCAACCCCUUUCCUUAGUUGCCAUCAUUAAGUUGGGAACUCUAAGGAUACUGCCGAUGUAAGUCGGAGGAAGGUGGGGAUGACGUCAAAUCAUCAUGCCCUUUAUGUCCUGGGCGACACACGUGCUACAAUGGCCGGUACAAAGAGAUGCAACAUCGCGAGGUGAAGCAAAUCCCAUAAAACCGGUCUCAGUUCGGAUUGGAGUCUGCAACUCGACUCCAUGAAGCUGGAAUUGCUAGUAAUCGCGAAUCAGCCAUGUCGCGGUGAAUACGUUCCCGGGUCUU
This 459-nucleotide ribosomal RNA is filed under the name uncultured bacterium. RNAcentral describes it as "bacterial SSU rRNA". It matches the Rfam family "Bacterial small subunit ribosomal RNA", at positions 917 to 1382 of the family's 1533-position model. The record is from RNAcentral.